RNAcentral lists this unclassified non-coding RNA (687 nucleotides) under Hevea brasiliensis (rubber tree). Lineage: Eukaryota; Viridiplantae; Streptophyta; Magnoliopsida; Malpighiales; Euphorbiaceae. The record is from RNAcentral.
ACGCGAAUUGCUUCCACCAGAGCAGUAUAAUUAUUCAAUGGUUCUCCCAUUCCCAUGAAAACAACAUUCCGUAUUUGGGAUAAAUAUGAUGCAUGGACUAACUGUUCAACAAUUUCUCCUGAUGAUAGAUUGUUUUUGAAUCCCAUGCUUCCAGUAGCACAAAACUUGCAACCCAUUUUACAACCAACCUGAGAUGAUAUGCACAGAGUUGACCUUAGGCCACCAGGACGGGGUUUUCCACCAUAUUUUCCCAAUCGAGUGUCAUACCUCAUAAUAACAGCCUCCACAAAAGCUCCAUUCUGAAGUUUAAUAAAAAGCUUGGUGGUGACCCCAUCAUUUGAUUCAACAAUAGAAUGAAGAGUGGAAGAGAGAGUUCUGAACUUGGAAUGCAGGAGUGAGUAGGCAGCUGAGGGCAAAUUGGGUAUAUCAUCCCACUGGCAGUUAGGGUUCUUGAUCACAUGCUUCCAAAUGAAAGGGAUGAAGUGGAGGCUGAUACCCACUUUCUCAAACUCUCUCCUGAGAUCCGGGGCGUCGAAAAUUGAUCCAGAGUUCAUUUUUGUGGCCAUACAGAUACAGUGAAAUAAUGGCGGUGAAGGAUGUUUUGGUGCUGGAUUGUGCUAAGAAAUCAGGACACAGCUUCUGGGUAAACGGCGGAGGCGGUCAGCGUUUUCUUAUUGGAAAUCAACU